AGUGAACGCUGGCGGUAGGCCUAACACAUGCAAGUCGAACGGCAGCACAGUAAGAGCUUGCUCUUACGGUUGGCGAGUGGCGGACGGGUGAGGAAUACAUCGGAAUCUACUUUUUCGUGGGGGAUAACGUAGGGAAACUUACGCUAAUACCUCAUACGACCUACGGGUGAAAGCAGGGGAUCUUCGGACCUUUCGCGAUUGAAUGAGCCGAUGUCGGAUUAGCUAGUUGGCUGGGUAAAGGCCCACCAAGGCGACGAUCCGUAGCUGGUCUGAGAGGAUGAUCAGCCACACUGGAACUGAGACACGGUCCAGACUCCUACGGGAGGCAGCAGUGGGGAAUAUUGGACAAUGGGCGAAAGCCUGAUCCAGCCAUACCGCGUGGGUGAAGAAGGCCUUCGGGUUGUAAAGCCCUUUUGUUGGGAAAGAAAAGCAGCAGGUUAAUCCCCCGCUGUUCUGACGGUACCCAAAGAAUAAGCAACGGCUAACUUCGUG
Molecule: ribosomal RNA, 492 nt
Filed under: uncultured bacterium
Lineage: Bacteria
Description: partial 16S ribosomal RNA
Rfam family: Bacterial small subunit ribosomal RNA
Source: RNAcentral